Molecule: ribosomal RNA, 253 nt
Filed under: uncultured bacterium
Lineage: Bacteria
Description: partial 16S ribosomal RNA
Rfam family: Bacterial small subunit ribosomal RNA
Source: RNAcentral
UACGAAGGGGGCUAGCGUUGUUCGGAAUUACUGGGCGUAAAGCGUGCGUAGACGGCUAUCUAAGUCGGGUGUGAAAGCCCCGGGCUCAACCUGGGAAUUGCAUUCGAGACUGAAUAGCUAGGGUGCGGUAGAGGGAAGCGGAAUUUCCGGUGUAGCGGUGAAAUGCGUAGAUAUCGGAAGGAACAUCAGUGGCGAAAGCGGCUUCCUGGACCAGCACCGACGUUCAGGCACGAAAGCGUGGGGAGCAAACAGG